AAGAACAAAUGUGUAAGUAACUAUGCACGUCUUGACGGUACCUAAUCAGAAAGCCACGGCUAACUACGUGCCAGCAGCCGCGGUAAUACGUAGGUGGCAAGCGUUAUCCGGAAUUAUUGGGCGUAAAGCGCGCGUAGGCGGUUUUUUAAGUCUGAUGUGAAAGCCCACGGCUCAACCGUGGAGGGUCAUUGGAAACUGGAAAACUUGAGUGCAGAAGAGGAAAGUGGAAUUCCAUGUGUAGCGGUGAAAUGCGCAGAGAUAUGGAGGAACACCAGUGGCGAAAGGCGACUUUCUGGUCUGUAACUGACGCUGAUGUGCGAAAAGCGUGGGGAUCAAAACAGGAUUAGAUACCCUGGUAGUCCACGCCGUAAACGAUGAAUGCUAAGUGUU
RNAcentral lists this ribosomal RNA (390 nucleotides) under Staphylococcus epidermidis. RNAcentral's name for it is "bacterial SSU rRNA". It matches the Rfam family "Bacterial small subunit ribosomal RNA", at positions 445 to 824 of the family's 1533-position model. The record is from RNAcentral. Lineage: Bacteria; Bacillati; Bacillota; Bacilli; Caryophanales; Staphylococcaceae.